GGGGCGGUGGCGCAGUUGGUUAGCGCGUCGGUCUCAUAAUCCGGAGGUCGUGAGUUCGAGCCUCACUCGCCCCA
RNAcentral lists this transfer RNA (74 nucleotides) under Marchantia polymorpha subsp. ruderalis. Its description in RNAcentral is "tRNA-Met". It matches the Rfam family "tRNA". Rfam says of the family: Transfer RNA (tRNA) molecules are approximately 80 nucleotides in length. Their secondary structure includes four short double-helical elements and three loops (D, anti-codon, and T loops). Lineage: Eukaryota; Viridiplantae; Streptophyta; Marchantiopsida; Marchantiales; Marchantiaceae. The record is from RNAcentral.